Molecule: ribosomal RNA, 395 nt
Filed under: uncultured bacterium
Lineage: Bacteria
Description: bacterial SSU rRNA
Rfam family: Bacterial small subunit ribosomal RNA
Source: RNAcentral
AUUAAACGCUGGCGGCAUGCCUUACACAUGCAAGUCGAACGGCAGCACGGGGGCAACCCUGGUGGCGAGUGGCGAACGGGUGAGUAAAGCAUCGGAACGUGCCCUGGAGUGGGGGGAUAACGUAGCGAAAGUUACGCUAAUACCGCAUAUUCUGUGAGCAGGAAAGCAGGGGAUCGCAAGACCUUGCGCUCUGGGAGCGGCCGAUGUCGGAUUAGCUAGUUGGUGGGGUAAAGGCCUACCAAGGCGACGAUCCGUAGCGGGUCUGAGAGGAUGAUCCGCCACACUGGGACUGAGACACGGCCCAGACUCCUACGGGAGGCAGCAGUGGGGAAUUUUGGACAAUGGGCGAAAGCCUGAUCCAGCCAUGCCGCGUGAGUGAAGAAGGCCUUCGGGUU